RNAcentral lists this ribosomal RNA (328 nucleotides) under uncultured eukaryote. RNAcentral describes it as "partial 18S ribosomal RNA". It matches the Rfam family "Eukaryotic small subunit ribosomal RNA", at positions 1470 to 1796 of the family's 1831-position model. The record is from RNAcentral.
CCCUUAGAUGUCCCGGGCUGCACGCGCGCUACACUGAAGGAAUCAGCGUGCUAAAACCAUUGUCGAAAGGCAUUGGUAAACCCAUUAAAAUCCUACGUGAUUGGGAUCGGGAAUUGCAAUUAUUUCCCUUGAACGAGGAAUUCCCAGUAAGUGUGGGUCAUAAGCUCGCGUUGAUUACGUCCCUGCCCUUUGUACACACCGCCCGUCGCUGCCCGGGACUGAGCCGUUUCGAGAAAAGCGGGGACUGCUGCUGUCGGGGCUUUCGGGCCUUGGCUUCGGUGGAAACCGCUUUAAUCGCAGUGGCUUGAACCGGGCAAAAGUCGUAACA